AUUGAACGCUGGCGGCAUGCCUUACACAUGCAAGUCGAACGGCAGCACGGGAGCAAUCCUGGUGGCGAGUGGCGAACGGGUGAGUAAUAUAUCGGAACGUGCCCGGUCGUGGGGAUAACGUAGCGAAAGCUACGCUAAUACCGCAUACGAUCUACGGAUGAAGGCGGGGGAUCGCAAGACCUCGCGCGAUUGGAGCGGCCAAUAUCAGAUUAGGUAGUUGGUGAGGUAAAGGCUCACCAAGCCGACGAUCUGUAGCUGGUCUGAGAGGACGACUAGCCACACUGGGACUGAGACACGGCCCAGACUCCUACGGGAGGCAGCAGUGGGGAAUUUUGGACAAUGGGCGCAAGCCUGAUCCAGCAAUGCCGCGUGCAGGAUGAAGGCCUUCGGGUUGU
RNAcentral lists this ribosomal RNA (395 nucleotides) under uncultured bacterium. RNAcentral describes it as "bacterial SSU rRNA". It matches the Rfam family "Bacterial small subunit ribosomal RNA", at positions 30 to 426 of the family's 1533-position model. The record is from RNAcentral.